GAUCAAGCGAUCAAGGGCACAGGGUGGAUGUCUAGGCACGGACUGGCGAUGAAGGACGUGGCAAGCUGCGAUAAGCCAGGGGUAGCUGCAAGCGAGCGUUAAUCCCUGGAUUUCCGAAUGGGGAAACCCGGCCGGGGUGAUGCCCGGUCAUCCCUUCGCUGAAUACAUAGGCGUUGGGAAGCGAACCGAGGGAACUGAAACAUCUAAGUACCUCGAGGAAGAGAAAACAACCGUGAUUCCCUCAGUAGCGGCGAGCGAACGGGGAAGAGCCCAAACCAUGGAGGUGUCAAGGCGGCAGCCGUUGCUUCCAUGGGGUAGCAGGGUGGUUCGUGAGAGUCUGCCGGCUCUCGGAGCGUCGCGCGACGGUGAGUCGAAUCCGUCUGGAAAGCCAAGCCAUAGAGGGUGACAGCCCCGUAGGCGAAGCCGACGUCGCGAUCUCUGGAUCAUUCCUGAGUAGGUCGGGACACGUGAAAUCCCGAUUGAACCCGGCAGGACCACCUGCCAAGGCUAAAUACACGUCCGUGACCGAUAGCGAACGAGUACCGUGAGGGAAAGAUGAAAAGUACGCCGGGAGGCGGGUGAAACAGAUCCUGAAACCGUGUGCCUACAAGCGGUGGGAGCUCGACCCUCUCUUCGUGAGAGACGUCGGGUGACCGCGUGCCUUUUGCAUUAUGAUCCGGCGAGUUGUUCCUCAGUAGCAAGGUUAAGCCGUUCAGCGGCGGAGCCGAAGCGAAAGCGAGUCUUAACUGGGCGUAGAGUUGCUGGGGACAGACCCGAAACCAGAGUGAUCUAUCCAUGGCCAGGUUGAAGCGAGGGUAAUGCUUCGUGGAGGACCGAACCGUUGUGGGUUGAAAACUGCUCGGAUGAGCUGUGGAUAGGGGUGAAAGGCCAAUCAAACCUGGAGAUAGCUGGUUCUCCCCGAAAGAUAUUUAGGUAUCGCCUCUGAGUGUAGACUGCGGGAGGUAGAGCACUGGAAGGGCUAGGGCCCUAAACCGGGUACCAACCCCUACUAAACUCCGAAUGCCCGUUAGUUGGUCUCAGGGAGGAAGUGCACGUGCGAUAAUGUUCGUGCGCGAGAGGGAAAGAGCCCAGACCUUCAGCUAAGGUCCCCAAGUGCUAGCUAAGUGACAAAGGUGGUGGAUUUGCGGAGACAACUGGGAGGUUGGCUUAGAAGCAGCCAUCCUUGAAAGAGUGCGUAAUAGCUCACCAGUCAAGCGGAUCUGCGCCGAUAAUGGUCGGGACUGAAGUUAGCCACCGAAGCUAAGGCUGCGCGCAUAUGCGCGCGGGGUAGGGGAGCGUUGCCUGAGCCGUGAAGCGGGGCCGGAAGGCUACCCGUGGAGCGCAGGCAAGUGAGAAUGCCGGAAUGAGUACGCGAGAAACAAGGUGAGAACCCUUGUCGCCGUAAGCCCAAGGUUUCCUGAGCCAUGCCAAUCAGCUCAGGGUUAGUCGGCCCCUAAGGUGAGGCCGAAAGGCGUAGCCGAUGGAAAACGGGUCAACAUUCCCGUACCACACGAUACUGCGCUUGAGUCUGCGGAGGGACGCAGAGGUGAAAGGUCCGUCGUUUCCAUGGACAUGAACGAUGUAAGGAGGUAGGCGUUUCCGGGUAGGCAAAUCCGCCCGGUGAAGCCGAGAUCCGAUGCCGAAGAAGUCUUCGGACUUCGCUAAGGGACCGUAAUCGUACUGCCAAGAAAAGCUUCGUGGACGAGGAGUACGUGUGACCGUACCGCAAACCGACACAGGUGGGCGAGGCGAGUAGCCUCAGGCGCUCGAGUGAGUCUUGGUUAAGGAACUCGGCAAAAUGUCCCCGUAACUUCGGGAGAAGGGGAGCCGGCAGUAGGUGACCUUGCUUCGCGCAGGAGAGCCGAAACCGGCCGCAGAGAAUCGGCCCAAGCGACUGUUUAGUAAAAACACAGGUGUCUGCAAAGUCGUCAAGACGACGUAUAGGCACUGACGCCUGCCCGGUGCCGGAAGGUUAAAU
RNAcentral lists this ribosomal RNA (1978 nucleotides) under Candidatus Palauibacter australiensis. Its description in RNAcentral is "partial 23S ribosomal RNA". It matches the Rfam family "Bacterial large subunit ribosomal RNA", at positions 1 to 1882 of the family's 2925-position model. The record is from RNAcentral. Lineage: Bacteria; Pseudomonadati; Gemmatimonadota; Gemmatimonadia; Candidatus Palauibacterales; Candidatus Palauibacteraceae.